UACGUAGGGUGCGAGCGUUGUCCGGAAUUAUUGGGCGUAAAGAGCUCGUAGGCGGUCUGUCGCGUCGGUCGUGAAAACUUGGGGCUUAACCCUGAGCUUGCGGUCGAUACGGGCAUGACUGGAGUUCGGCAGGGGAGACUGGAAUUCCUGGUGUAGCGGUGGAAUGCGCAGAUAUCAGGAGGAACACCGGUGGCGAAGGCGGGUCUCUGGGCCGUUACUGACGCUGAGGAGCGAAAGCGUGGGGAGCGAACAGG
Molecule: ribosomal RNA, 254 nt
Filed under: uncultured bacterium
Lineage: Bacteria
Description: partial 16S ribosomal RNA
Rfam family: Bacterial small subunit ribosomal RNA
Source: RNAcentral